RNAcentral lists this ribosomal RNA (720 nucleotides) under uncultured bacterium. RNAcentral describes it as "bacterial SSU rRNA". It matches the Rfam family "Bacterial small subunit ribosomal RNA", at positions 58 to 755 of the family's 1533-position model. The record is from RNAcentral.
CAAGUCGAACGGCAGCGCGGGGGCUUCGGUCUCUGGCGGCGAGUGGCGGACGGGUGAGUAAUAUAUGGGAACGCGCCCGGCGGCGGGGGAUAACUCUGGGAAACCAGAGCUAAUACCGCAUGCGUUUCGCCUUUCGGGGCGAAAGAAAGCGGGGGACUUCUUCGGAGGCCUCGCACCGGCGGAGCGGCCCAUAUCCGAUUAGCUUGUUGGCGGGGUAACAGCCCACCAAGGCCGCGAUCGGUAGCUGGUCUGAGAGGACGGACAGCCACACCGGGACUGAGACACGGCCCGGACCCCUACGGGAGGCAGCAGUGGGGAAUAUUGGACAAUGGGGGCAACCCUGAUCCAGCAAUGCCGCGUGUGUGAAGAAGGCCUUCGGGUUGUAAAGCACUUUCGCGGGGGAAGAAAAAGCGAGGGGUAAUAUCUCUCGCGCCUGACGGUACCCCGAGAAGAAGCACCGGCUAACUACGUGCCAGCAGCCGCGGUAAUACGUAGGGUGCGAGCGUUAAUCGGAAUUACUGGGCGUAAAGCGUGCGCAGGCGGCCUGUCAAGUCGGGUGUGAAAUCCCCGGGCUCAACCCGGGAAUUGCGCUUGAAACCGGCGGGCUAGAGUACGGCAGAGGAAGGUGGAAUUCCGUGUGUAGCGGUGAAAUGCGUAGAUAUACGGAAGAACACUCAUGGCGAAGGCAUCCUUCUGGGCCGUAACUGACGCUCAUGCACG